This 253-nucleotide ribosomal RNA is filed under the name uncultured bacterium. RNAcentral's name for it is "partial 16S ribosomal RNA". It matches the Rfam family "Bacterial small subunit ribosomal RNA", at positions 524 to 776 of the family's 1533-position model. The record is from RNAcentral.
UACGGGGGGGGCAAGCGUUGUUCGGAAUUACUGGGCGUAAAGGGCUCGUAGGUGGCCAACUAGGUCAGACGUGAAAUCCCUCGGCUUAACCGGGGAACUGCGUCUGAUACUGGAUGGCUUGAGUUUGGGAGAGGGAUGCGGAAUUCCAGGUGUAGCGGUGAAAUGCGUAGAUAUCUGGAGGAACACCGGUGGCGAAGGCGGCAUCCUGGACCAACACUGACACUGAGGAGCGAAAGCCAGGGGAGCAAACGGG